Molecule: long non-coding RNA, 577 nt
Organism: Oncorhynchus tshawytscha (Chinook salmon)
Lineage: Eukaryota; Metazoa; Chordata; Actinopteri; Salmoniformes; Salmonidae
Source: Ensembl
UGGCAACACUGCCUUGGAGAUUUCUUCAAUCUCGGAGAAUGAAUACUACUGAAACAAACAUUUCUGCGUCUCAUCAUUUUACCCUAUUAAGUCAGUUGUGUAAUGUGCAAUAUGAGUCAAAAUAUUGAGGUAGCAUGGUUAAUUACCUAGUCCAUGAGUUUGAUGUUUGAAGGCAAUUGAAUGGAUUUUUAACCGAGUGAAACACUGGCUGUUUUUUUCCCCCAUUGACUGCCAUGGGCAAGUCUCUUGACGGGUACCAGGAAUGGUGGGAGGCCAAUCUGAAGGUAAUUAUCGUUGCACACAACAGCAGCGUCUAGGCCUCCAGAGUACUCACCCUAUCGCCUGCUGUACGGACGGGAGCUGCAGCUGUUUACGGAGUUGUCAAACCAGAUCAGAAGGCCUCGAGGACCACCUUCAGGCAUGGGCUGAGAAGGAUGUGGAUCAGGUGAGACUGAACAUGGACAUAGCGCAGGAGAAACAGGAUUGCCAUUGGAGGAGAAUCAAGGGUUCCAAGUGUUUCAAAAUCUGGGUGAAUGACUUGGCUUGGAAGAAGGAUGAAAGGAAGGCAAGACCUGGG